This 72-nucleotide transfer RNA is filed under the name Chelonia mydas (Green sea turtle). It matches the Rfam family "tRNA". From Rfam's summary of the family: Transfer RNA (tRNA) molecules are approximately 80 nucleotides in length. Their secondary structure includes four short double-helical elements and three loops (D, anti-codon, and T loops). The record is from Rfam by way of RNAcentral. Lineage: Eukaryota; Metazoa; Chordata; Testudines; Cheloniidae.
UGUCCCAUGGAGUAAGGGCCAGCACUCAGGGUUUUAAAUUCUGCAAUCCAAGUUCAAGUCUUGGUGGGACCU